GUUUCUAGUAUCUUAGUGGUCAGAGCAUCCAUCUAAACCAAGGAGGGUCAUGGGCUCAAAUCCUAUCUGGAACU
Molecule: transfer RNA, 74 nt
Filed under: Acropora cervicornis
Lineage: Eukaryota; Metazoa; Cnidaria; Anthozoa; Scleractinia; Acroporidae
Description: tRNA-Phe
Source: RNAcentral